GGAGUUAGGAAAUGUAGGUGCGAUAAUACCGUGCCUAUUUGACAAAGGCUCCAAAGGAAGCCACGGCUAACUCUGUGCCAGCAGCCGCGGUAAUACAGAGGUGGCAAGCGUUGUUCGGAAUUAUUGGGCGUAAAGAGCACGUAGGUGGAUUUGUUAGUCAGAUGUGAAAGCCUUUCGUUCAACGGAAGAAUUGCAUCUGAAACUACAAACCUUGAGGAUAGGAGGGGAGAGUGGAACUUCUGGU
RNAcentral lists this ribosomal RNA (244 nucleotides) under uncultured anaerobic ammonium-oxidizing bacterium. RNAcentral describes it as "partial 16S ribosomal RNA". It matches the Rfam family "Bacterial small subunit ribosomal RNA", at positions 439 to 674 of the family's 1533-position model. The record is from RNAcentral.